AUUUUUAUGGAGAGUUUGAUCCUGGCUCAGGAUGAACGCUGGCGGCGUGCCUAAUACAUGCAAGUCGAG
This 69-nucleotide ribosomal RNA is filed under the name Staphylococcus aureus. RNAcentral describes it as "partial 16S ribosomal RNA". It matches the Rfam family "Bacterial small subunit ribosomal RNA", at positions 1 to 66 of the family's 1533-position model. Lineage: Bacteria; Bacillati; Bacillota; Bacilli; Caryophanales; Staphylococcaceae. The record is from RNAcentral.